AGAGCUGGCUUUACAGGUUAUGUUUUACAUCAGGCGCCGCAAAUUGUGCCAGUACACUCGUUGUAGAUAGAGUUAUAAAUUAACAAGAGCCAGCAGUGAGCAUCCACGAGGACUGCGUCGCAAACAUUUCGACGGAAAUAUGUUCAGUAGCGUAAAACAUUCACUAAGAUAUAAUCCAUGUAAAUUCGGUUAUCAAUUGUUGGCGCAGUUGUCAGCGGGAACGACAGCCAAGAGCGAUCCGGCAGCGCGAGAAUGUACACGCAGGUCCCCUUCGAUGUGCGGGCAACCGACGCCGACGACACAUCCCCACUUAAUGAAGCACGGGGAGGUAGUACCAGGUAUAUCACUGCAGGAAUUUAGGAGACGACGCUCCAAGCUGGUAGAAAGUAUCGUACAGGAGAACAACGCAAAAAACAGACAACAAAUCGUCGUCAUACCCGCGUCACCCAAGGUCUACAUGUCCGACAAGAUACCGUAUGUCUUUCGACAAAAUACCGACUUCUUGUACUUCUCCGGAUGCCAAGAGCCGGACAGCGUCUUGGUGCUCACGUGCAAAGAGAAUAGAUCUUCGUCUGUUUUGUUUGUGAGACCAAGGGACAAACAUUCCGAAUUAUGGGAUGGUCCAAGAACCGGCGUCGACAUCGCGGCCGAGAUGUUCGGCACCGAUCACGCUCUACCCGUUGCGCAAUUCGAGCAGUUCCUCGCCUCGCUCCUGCAGAAAGACGCGAAGUCUAUCGUUUGGUACGACAAUGCUGACGUUGUUCAGCCGAUCUUACAUAAGAAACUGUGCCAGUUGAUCGGAUUGACGGACAAUCAAAUAUUCGCCUCCCCCAAGACCUUGUUUCACCAAGCCCGCUUGAUCAAGAGCGCUUGCGAGAUCGAUCUGAUGCGGAGGAGCUGCGAGAUCGCCUCCGAGGCCAUUCGAAGAACGAUUCAGGCCUCGAGACCGGGCAUGAGCGAGCAUCAGUUGUUCGCCACUAUCGAUUACGAGUGUCGUAUGCACGGGGCCGAGUACCUGGCGUAUCCUCCCGUCGUGGCGGCGGGCAAAAAUGCGAACAUAAUACAUUACAUCAGUAACAAUCAAGUUGUACAAAGUGGCGAUUUGGUUCUGAUGGACGCAGGUUGCGAAUACCAUGGCUACACGUCCGACAUAACGAGAACGUGGCCGAUUAGCGGCAAGUUCACACCGGAACAGAAAGUCCUCUACGAAGUGGUGCUCGACCUACAAAAGGAUCUGAUAGAGGGCCUGAAAGAAAUGCCGUCGCUGGACAACACGUACCAUCGCAUGUGCACCCUCCUGGGAGAGAAACUGCGGGAUGUCGGCCUGAUACCGAGGACCAUCACCGAGGACAAAGUGUUCGCUGCCGCGUGCACGUACUGCCCGCAUCACGUGAGUCAUUAUCUGGGAAUGGACGUGCACGACACCGGGAAGAUAUCCAGGAGUAUACAGAUACAGCCUGGAAUGAUAAUAACGAUAGAACCCGGUGUUUACGUGAGCCCGAACAAUCCUUACGCGCCGCCGCACUUUCACGGGUUGGGUAUUCGCAUAGAGGACGACGUCUUGGUGACGGAGAACGGGGCGGAAGUCUUGACGAAAAACUGCCCGAAGGAGGUGGCGGAGAUUCAAGCGUUGGCGAGCCAGAAUCAAGGAUGUUGAUAACGAUACACGACGUGUAGGCGCGAUAUAUUUUUUUAUUCAAAUUUUUAGGAAAAAGUAUAUGUACAAGAUCACGCGUAUACGGCAGAAGUUCAUACAUCUUUUCAAAUUCAAUUGUUCGCAUAAUAUCCAUCUACCUCAUGCUAAGAGCAACGCUGGGGUUCCGUCUAUGCUAAUGUGCGUAUAGAUACAUUCACAUAUGUAUGUGUAAAAAUCCGAAUUUUCUCCUAUUCAUUUCUUGGUUUCCUUAUAGUUGCGCAAUGCACGGCGUCUCGUCUCGAAUUCAUUCGGUGGACGGUUCCCGUUACUCGAAGAUUUGUUCGAGCGGGAACAGAUGAAUAUUACAUACCUGGAACCAA
Dinoponera quadriceps is the source of this 2016-nucleotide RNA transcript. It is a transcript of the gene named probable Xaa-Pro aminopeptidase 3, with no coding region annotated. The transcript is spliced from 5 exons. The record is from RefSeq and is a predicted model, not a curated record. NCBI's taxonomy places the organism in Eukaryota, Metazoa, Arthropoda, Insecta, Hymenoptera, Formicidae.